GCCGGGGUGGCGGAAUGGUAGACGCGGACGGCUCAAACCCGUCUGGCCGUAACAGGCUGUAGGGGUUCAAGUCCCCUUCCCGGUA
RNAcentral lists this transfer RNA (85 nucleotides) under Propionibacterium sp. RNAcentral's name for it is "tRNA-Leu". It matches the Rfam family "tRNA". From Rfam's summary of the family: Transfer RNA (tRNA) molecules are approximately 80 nucleotides in length. Their secondary structure includes four short double-helical elements and three loops (D, anti-codon, and T loops). Further hydrogen bonds mediate the characteristic L-shaped molecular structure. tRNAs have two regions of fundamental functional importance: the anti-codon, which is responsible for specific mRNA codon recognition, and the 3' end, to which the tRNAs corresponding amino acid is attached (by aminoacyl-tRNA synthetases). tRNAs cope with the degeneracy of the genetic code in two manners: having more than one tRNA (with a specific anti-codon) for a particular amino acid; and 'wobble' base-pairing, i.e. permitting non-standard base-pairing at the 3rd anti-codon position. Lineage: Bacteria; Bacillati; Actinomycetota; Actinomycetes; Propionibacteriales; Propionibacteriaceae. The record is from RNAcentral.